UGGUUCCUACGGGGGGCGGCAGUGGGGGAUAUUGCACAAUGGGGGAAACCCUGAUGCAGCGACGCCGCGUGAGCGAUGAAGUAUUUCGGUGUGUAAAGCUCUAUCAGCAGGGAAGAAAAUGACGGUACCUGACUAAGAAGCCCCGGCUAACUACGUGCCAGCAGCCGCGGUAAUACGUAGGGGGCAAGCGUUAUCCGGAUUUACUGGGUGUAAAGGGAGCGUAGACGGCAGUGCAAGUCUGAAGUGAACGGCAAGGGCUCAACCUUUGGACUGCUUUGGAAACUGUGC
Molecule: ribosomal RNA, 288 nt
Filed under: uncultured bacterium
Lineage: Bacteria
Description: partial 16S ribosomal RNA
Rfam family: Bacterial small subunit ribosomal RNA
Source: RNAcentral